CUGCAGUGAUGAUCAGUCUUUGUGGUUUCAUCUACUGAAAUUUCACAAAAUGAAGACACAUUUCCUUGGCUGUCUGAGCAG
Small nucleolar RNA from Bufo bufo (common toad), 81 nucleotides. RefSeq annotates it as small nucleolar RNA SNORD53/SNORD92. Lineage: Eukaryota; Metazoa; Chordata; Amphibia; Anura; Bufonidae. The transcript has a single exon. The record is from RefSeq and is a predicted model, not a curated record.